GAUUAGAGUUUGAUCAUGGCUCAGGAUGAACGCUAGCGGCAGGCCUAAUACAUGCAAGUCAAGGGGUAGCAAUACACCGGCGGACGGGUGCGUAACGCGUACACAACAUACCUUUAAGCGGGGGAUAGCAUUGGGAAACUGGUGGUAAUACCCCAUAACAUUGCGAGUUGGCAUUAAUUUGCAAUUAAAGUUUCGGCGCUUAAAGAUUGGUGUGCGUCUGAUUAGCUAGUUGGCGGGGUAACGGCCCACCAAGGCGACGAUCAGUAGGGGGUGUGAGAGCAUGACCCCCCACAUGGGUACUGAGACACGGACCCAACUCCUACGGGAGGCAGCAGUAAGGAAUAUUGGACAAUGGGCGGAAGCCUGAUCCAGCCAUGCCGCGUGAAGGAUGAAGGCGCUCAGCGUUGUAAACUUCUUUUGGAUGGGGACAAUAAUCUCGAUUUAUCGGGACUUGAGGGUACCAUCAG
This 467-nucleotide ribosomal RNA is filed under the name uncultured bacterium. RNAcentral describes it as "bacterial SSU rRNA". It matches the Rfam family "Bacterial small subunit ribosomal RNA", at positions 1 to 484 of the family's 1533-position model. The record is from RNAcentral.